UACGUAGGGUGCAAGCGUUGUCCGGAAUUAUUGGGCGUAAAGAGCUCGUAGGCGGUUUGUCGCGUCGAAUGUGAAAACCCGGGGCUCAACCCCGGGCCUGCAUUCGAUACGGGCAGACUAGAGUUCGGUAGGGGAGUCUGGAAUUCCUGGUGUAGCGGUGAAAUGCGCAGAUAUCAGGAGGAACACCGAUGGCGAAGGCAGGUCUCUGGGCCGAUACUGACGCUGAGGAGCGAAAGCGUGGGGGAGCGAACAGG
This 254-nucleotide ribosomal RNA is filed under the name uncultured bacterium. RNAcentral describes it as "partial 16S ribosomal RNA". It matches the Rfam family "Bacterial small subunit ribosomal RNA", at positions 524 to 776 of the family's 1533-position model. The record is from RNAcentral.